AACCUGACUUUGACGGCUCUGGCUCCCAGAUUCCCUGUCUUCCAAACCAGUGACUACCAGCUGUGGUUCCAGAUAAAUCUGGUUGUAGUGCUGGCCAGCUUCCGUCCUGAGGUUCUAGUGUUGAUCCCCGCCAACCUCACCUGUGACGCUUACGAUGCAAUAUUGAAAGGCCUGGAGAACGCUUUGGCACUUCUCCCAUCUCAAGCUGCAGUGGAGCUGACGUCAAGCAUCGAUGAACUUCUACAGUCACCACCAAAUGGCUGCACGCCUCCUCGCCC
Long non-coding RNA from Puntigrus tetrazona (Sumatra barb), 278 nucleotides. RefSeq lists it as uncharacterized. The transcript has 3 exons. Lineage: Eukaryota; Metazoa; Chordata; Actinopteri; Cypriniformes; Cyprinidae. The record is from RefSeq and is a predicted model, not a curated record.